This 2073-nucleotide long non-coding RNA is filed under the name Xyrichtys novacula (pearly razorfish). Lineage: Eukaryota; Metazoa; Chordata; Actinopteri; Labriformes; Labridae. The record is from RNAcentral.
UGGGGCCCUGGUAACCCAGUGACAUUGUUAUGUAUAACCAUGUGUCAUCUGCAUAGAUGUGGUGACUUGUUUACUUGUUUUGUACAGUAUUAGCCAGCACAUUGUUGCACACCACACACUAUAAGAAUAAAACGGUUAAAUCUGUCAGUAUUUUUCACCACAUGUGGGAUAUCUGUUGUCUUAAUAACUGGCUGGUUUUAUUAAAAACCUUAGGUUUUCAACUUAGGGUUCAUCCCUUCGAAUUCCAGGCCAAAGAUUGCUUUCUUUUUGGUCGACCUGAUUUUCUUUUGUAAAAAUCUAUGUAUCAACUCUAUCCUAUCAAGUACAACAAAUAUAUACACUUUUGUUUUUCUGGACAACCUCAGCUGUCAGUUAAUGAGUGCUAAACAGUAGAUUCAGCACCAUAAAAGUCAACCAAAAAUACAAAAUGGAAAUUGAUACUAACAGUACUUUGCACAAAAAAAACAUAAACCUAUCAUGACCAAGCCUCUUCUCAACUGCACAUCAUUCUCUAGAGUCUUGGCCAUCAGAACAAGAAAUAUUGGCAUUGGAACUAACACACAGCAGAAACUAUUUACAUAUUUACACUUAGUCUCACAGGCAUUUUUUUUUAAUUCUUAAUUACCGUUAUGUAUGCCACUCAUUAAAGCAGAUCAUGUCAGUCUAAAGUUUGUGAGCAAAAUACAUAAUCUUUUCUUUGCUUGUUUCAAAGCAUGGAGGACCAUUAUUUCAGAGAGCAGAGAACGGUCUUGUCACUUGUUGAUCGUUGGUUGCCUCGGAUUGGACAUUCCCCGAGAGAAAACAAUAGAAGAAGAAUAUGAGACCAUAUAAUUGAUUGAAGUUUGACAGGAAGUGAUAUCAUAAAAACAGCCGGUCAAACAUGGAGUCCAUUAGCGGUUAUUGAGCGAUAGCGAUCUUUUUUUAUCACAACAAUAUAAUAAAUAAUCAUGUUUACACUGAUAUAUCUCUGUGGAUUUACCAUUAGAAGUCUUUGAUCAAACACCUAUUUGUGCUGCUGGAUUGUAAACCUCAUGGCAGGUUUACAAAUGUCUGGAAACCCUGGAUAGAUGGAUAAAAGGGUAAGCUUUCAAAUGCAUUUUACCCCAUAAAGAUACACAACACAGUUCCUGAGAAAUUGUAAACAAUACUAAUGUUGUCACGUGGGGGUGCCGGUGAUCCAGCAGAGUUCAAAGUGUUAAUCUAGACUUUACACUCUAAUUUAAGACUUAUACAAAGCUGGAGGCCAUUUGCGAAGUUUUUAAGCAUCACUAUAUUUACUUUUAUAGUGGUACAUUGCAUUUUUUACGAGGACUCAUAAGGGUAAUCAAGUCUCUAGAUGCAGCUGUUUUCAUGAUUCGCAAAGUAAGAUUGUCUCCCUCCAAAUCGCACUCUUCUCUAAAAAGAAAAAGUCAAACACAAAGAUAUACCAGUACAACAGGGUGUCUGUAUACUACUAUGUGUUUAACAGCCACAACAUUUAAUGGAAAAAGACAGACGAGGCCAGUGAUAAGCACAUCUAAUUAUGAGUCACCCUGUUGAAAUAUUUGCAUUGUCUUGUUUCAUAAAUAAAUUGUAUCAGCUGUCGCAUUUUAUCAAGACGUAAAGUCACACAGUCCAUCAGCCAUCUAGGUUACACACCCAACCUCCAUCUGGAUUAUGAUGAUGAUGAUGCAAAUGCUUGCAAGCGUAACAAGAUUAAUUCAGUGACAAGAUGCUCAUUUCAUUAGCCGUCACAACCCUUUCAACUACGCUCAGGUAUUUCAUGAGGAGAGCACAAUGGCUUGAAAAGCAAGUGACAACAUGUUCUGUGGAUGAACACGCAAGAGUCUGAACAGGUUAAAGCAAUUAAUACAAAAAUUGAUGAAAUAUUACUGUUGGAAUGCUCUAACAGUAAGUGUUUGUGUGUUCAAGGACAUUUUUUUCAUUUGACUGUGCCAUUAAAAGGAUGAAUUGAGUAAUAUGUGCCUCACAGUUGUGUGUCAGAGUUUCAUGACGUUAACAGUUUGAAAGUGGGUGCCUGUGUCUGCAGUUCAGCCACAUUUUAAAGCUGCUGUUGCUAGCUGUUACUCUAGC